UAGGUGGCGAGCGUAUCCGGAAUAUUGGGCGUAAAGGGUGCGUAGGCGGUUCAUUAAGUCUGUGGUUAAAGUGCGGGGCUCAACCCCGUAUAGCCAUGGAAACUGGUGAACUAGAGUGCAGGAGAGGGCAGUGGAAUUCCAUGUGUAGCGGUAAAAUGCGUAGAUAUAUGGAGGAACACCGGUGGCGAAGGCGGCUGCCUGGCCUGUAACUGACGCUGAGGCACGAAAGCGUGGGGAGCAAAUAGGAUUAGAUACCCUAGUAGUCCACGCCGUAAACGAUGAUUACUAAGUGUUGGAGAAAUUCAGUGCUGCAGUUAACGCAAUAAGUAAUCCGCCUGGGGAGUAUGCACGCAAGUGUGAAACUCAAAGGAAUUGACGGGACCCCGCACAAGCGGUGGAGUAUGUGGUUUAAUUCGAAGCAACGCGAAGAACCUUACCAGGUCUUGACAUGGUGUUUAAGGCCCUAGAGAUAGGGAGAUAAUAAACACACACAGGUGGUGCAUGGUUGUCGUCAGCUCGUGUCGUGAGAUGUUGGGUUAAGUCCCGCAACGAGCGCAA
Molecule: ribosomal RNA, 558 nt
Filed under: uncultured bacterium
Lineage: Bacteria
Description: bacterial SSU rRNA
Rfam family: Bacterial small subunit ribosomal RNA
Source: RNAcentral